RNAcentral lists this transfer-messenger RNA (374 nucleotides) under Pseudonocardiaceae. RNAcentral describes it as "Pseudonocardia sp023898865 Standard tmRNA". It matches the Rfam family "transfer-messenger RNA". From Rfam's summary of the family: Bacterial tmRNA, also known as 10Sa RNA or SsrA, is named for its dual tRNA and mRNA-like properties. Its role is to liberate the mRNA from a stalled ribosome. Lineage: Bacteria; Bacillati; Actinomycetota; Actinomycetes; Pseudonocardiales. RNAcentral also lists the same sequence under 1 other name. The record is from RNAcentral.
GGGGGUGAACGGUUUCGACUCCGGAUGUUGAUCUUGGGGAAGCGUGCCGAGGAAGGCGACGAUGAUCUCGAAAACCAUGCGUCGCAAAAAAACAAGUGCCGCUGAUAAGCGCACUGACUUCGCCCUCGCCGCCUGAGCGAGUAAGAAGUCUGUCGGCCCGGGUGUGAUCCCCGACCCGGUCGCCGGCAUCAGCUAGGGGGUCUCACCUGUCCACCCGGUCGCGGGGUGGGCGGGGACAUCGAACAGCGACUGGGAUCGUCACACCGGCUCGUCCGCGUGACCGGUGGAUCCGAGUAGAGGCACAGCGGACUGCGCACGGAGAAGCCCAAGUGAAGCAACGGAGGACCCGGGUUCGAUUCCCGGCACCUCCACCG